UCCGGCUCCAGGAGGCGACACCAUCCCCCGCAGCUCCGCACAAAGAGAUCAGAUCCGACUUUAGUCACUUAUGGUCCGGUUAAUGUGGAGCUGAGCGCCGGAGAAGAACCGUGUCUCCUCUGCAUCGCUGCUGCCGUCGUCGUCCUCCAGCUGCUGCUCAGGUUCACCAUCACCAAGGUCGUGGCCCCCGGGGGUCAGAGGUCACAGGAGGUGGCCCCGGGCCCCUGCAUUAUGUCAGCAGCUUGACUCCACUGGAUCCGGCUCUUCCCAUAAUGCACCUGGAUAGUAGCUUCUUCCUGACGUGAUGUUAGAUGUGAUGACAUCUCUGUGACAUCACCAUAUUGGUUUUCCCACUCAGACUGGAAGCCACACCCCCCCACACACACACCGUCCGCUCGUCUGAAGAUGCUGCUGUGACGUGCAGCCUCUGUUACCAUGGCAACUGAACACGGCACACAACGGCACGGUGUGAUUGACAGCCGGUACCAUCAGGUGUCGGUGGACGUGCAGCAGUGUCCUCGGAGCUCUGUCAGGCCACGCCCCCCUGCUCCCUCCAAAUAUGGUCACAUCUGGUUUAAAAAACAAAACAAAAACAAGAUGGCGCCGAGCUGGAGGCCUCAGACCAAUGAGAUGUCUUGACACUUGGUAUCACCUGAAAAGUGAAGAUUUUUUAAUCAUUAUAUAAACUUAAAACUAUGGAAGCUGAAACCAGUGGACUUUAAUAAUACUCAUUAGUUCCAUUUUUAAUGCAUUAACUUGAGAUAAUGAGCUAAAUUAAGUCCUUAUAUGAAGAAAAGUGGAUAUUAAACACAUUAUCUUAAAAUUUAAAUUAAAACAUAAAAUGUGUUAUUGAUCCUCCGUAUAAGACCAAUAAUAAUCUAAUAAAAAUGUUACGUUCUUCAUCCUUUGGAUCAUGUUUUAGGUUCUGCAUCAGAGUAUUUUUCAUGAAUAAGAAUCAGAUGGAGUUUUAUCGUGAAAGGUUCAGAUCCUGUAGAAAUGUAAAUGUAUCAAAGUGAGAAACAGAAUCAGACGCGAGCUCUUCAGUAGAAUUCUUUAUUGAAUGAAGCAAAAAUAAUGAAGAGAAUUAGAAAAAAAAAUCCCCUUUAUGAAAAUAAAUAAAUCAUUUUCUUUGACAGAAGCACAGAAACUCCACCUGCAGUCGGGUUCUUCUUCUUGUGCUGCCGCCGCCGCCGUCGUUUUAUCGUUCACUGCGUCAAACCAGAAGAUUUAUUUUAUUUCAUUUUUUUAUUUUAUUUUCUGGCGACAGAAAGAAAAAAAAAACGACCAAUGAGAAGCGGCGACGCUCUGAUGCAGUUUGGCAAAGACGAGAGAGAGAAUAAUCAUGAUCCCGGACGUCCCUUCAAAAUAAAAGCUCAGUGUGCCAGUUAAGCGUUGCCGUGGUGACUAAUUACAGACUUUCCUUAACGAGCGACCUCACCUCCAC
This is a long non-coding RNA of Scophthalmus maximus (turbot), 1444 nucleotides long. RefSeq lists it as uncharacterized. NCBI's taxonomy places the organism in Eukaryota, Metazoa, Chordata, Actinopteri, Pleuronectiformes, Scophthalmidae. The transcript has 2 exons. The record is from RefSeq and is a predicted model, not a curated record.